RNAcentral lists this ribosomal RNA (301 nucleotides) under uncultured bacterium. RNAcentral describes it as "partial 16S ribosomal RNA". It matches the Rfam family "Archaeal small subunit ribosomal RNA", at positions 459 to 760 of the family's 1478-position model. The record is from RNAcentral.
CAGCCGCCGCGGUAAUACCAGCAGCCCAAGUGGUGGUCGCGAUUAUUGGGCCUAAAGCGCACGUAGCCGGGCCGGUAAGUCCCUUGUGAAAUCGGACGGCCUAACCGUUCGGCGUGCAAGGGAUACUGUCGGUCUUGAGGCCGGGAGACGUCCGAGGUACUCCGGGGUAGCGGUGAAAUGUUCCAAUCCUCGGGGGACCACCGGUGGCGGAGGCGUUCGACGAGAACGGGCCUGACGGUGAGGGGCGAAGGCUAGGGGAGCAAACGGGAUUAGAUACCCCUGUAGUCCCUGUCUCUUAUAC